GUGGGCGUAGCGUAGCGGUUAACGCGCCAGGUUGUGGCCCUGGAGAUCGUGGGUUCAAAUCCCAUCGCUCACCCCA
This 76-nucleotide transfer RNA is filed under the name Chloroflexota bacterium. RNAcentral's name for it is "tRNA-His". It matches the Rfam family "tRNA". From Rfam's summary of the family: Transfer RNA (tRNA) molecules are approximately 80 nucleotides in length. Lineage: Bacteria; Bacillati; Chloroflexota. The record is from RNAcentral.